CGGGCGUCUUAACAUGCAAGUCGAGCGAACAGAAAAGGAGCUUGCUCCUUUGACGUUAGCGGCGGACGGGUGAGUAACACGUGGGCAACCUACCCUAUAGUUUGGGAUAACUCCGGGAAACCGGGGCUAAUACCGAAUAAUCUCUUUUGCUUCAUGGUGAAAGACUGAAAGACGGUUUCGGCUGUCGCUAUAGGAUGGGCCCGCGGCGCAUUAGCUAGUUGGUGAGGUAACGGCUCACCAAGGCGACGAUGCGUAGCCGACCUGAGAGGGUGAUCGGCCACACUGGGACUGAGACACGGCCCAGACUCCUACGGGAGGCAGCAGUAGGGAUCUUCCACAAUGGGCGAAAGCCUGAUGGAGCAACGCCGCGUGAGUGAAGAAGGUUUUCGGAUCGUAAAACUCUGUUGUAAGGGAAGAACAAGUACAGUAGUAACUGGCUGUACUUGACGGUACUUAUUAGAAAGCCACGGCUAACUAC
RNAcentral lists this ribosomal RNA (478 nucleotides) under Bacillus sp. oral taxon A08. RNAcentral describes it as "bacterial SSU rRNA". It matches the Rfam family "Bacterial small subunit ribosomal RNA", at positions 43 to 504 of the family's 1533-position model. The record is from RNAcentral. Lineage: Bacteria; Bacillati; Bacillota; Bacilli; Caryophanales; Bacillaceae.